AACGAUGAUCUCCAGCUUGCUGGGGGGAUUAGUGGCGAACGGGUGAGUAACACGUGAGUAACCUGCCCUUAACUCUGGGAUAAGCCUGGGAAACUGGGUCUAAUACCGGAUAUGACUCCUCAUCGCAUGGUGGGGGGUGGAAAGCUUUUGUGGUUUUGGAUGGACUCGCGGCCUAUCAGCUUGUUGGUGAGGUAAUGGCUCACCAAGGCGACGACGGGUAGCCGGCCUGAGAGGGUGACCGGCCACACUGGGACUGAGACACGGCCCAGACUCCUACGGGAGGCAGCAGUGGGGAAUAUUGCACAAUGGGCGCAAGCCUGAUGCAGCGACGCCGCGUGAGGGAUGACGGCCUUCGGGUUGUAAACCUCUUUCAGUAGGGAAGAAGCGAAAGUGACGGUACCUGCAGAAGAAGCGCCGGCUAACUACGUGCCAGCAGCCGCGGUAAUACGUAGGGCGCAAGCGUUAUCCGGAAUUAUUGGGCGUAAAGAGCUCGUAGGCGGUUUGUC
Molecule: ribosomal RNA, 506 nt
Filed under: Arthrobacter sp.
Lineage: Bacteria; Bacillati; Actinomycetota; Actinomycetes; Micrococcales; Micrococcaceae
Description: bacterial SSU rRNA
Rfam family: Bacterial small subunit ribosomal RNA
Source: RNAcentral